AGAGUUUGAUCAUGGCUCAGAAUCAACGCUGGCGGCGCGCUUAACACAUGCAAGUCGAGCGAGAAAGUGGGGCAACUCAUGAGUACAGCGGCGAACGGGUGAGUAACACGUGGGUAAUCUACCUUCAAGUGGGGGAUAACCCUGGGAAACCGGGGCUAAUACCGCAUAAACCUGGGAAGGGAAAGCCGAAAGGCGCUAGAAGAGGAGCCCGCGGCCGAUUAGCUAGUUGGUGGGGUAACGGCUCACCAAGGCGGGGAUCGGUAGCCGGCCUGAGAGGGCACACGGCCACACUGGCACUGAAACACGGGCCAGACUCCUACGGGAGGCAGCAGUGGGGAAUCUUGCACAAUGGAGGCAACUCUGAUGCAGCGACGCCGCGUGAGCGAUGAAGCCCUUCGGGGUGUAAAGCUCUUUCGGCCAGGACGAUAAUGACGGUACCGGCAGAAGAAGCUGCGGCUAACUACGUGCCAGCAGCCGCGGUAAUACGUAGGCAGCGAGCGUUGUUCGGAAUUACUGGGCGUAAAGAGUGUGUAGGCGGUGAUCUAAGUUCGGUGUGAAAUCUCCUGGCUUAACUGGGAGGGUGCGCCGGAAACUGGAUUGCUCGAGCGUGGGAGAGGAAAGCGGAAUUCCUGGUGUAGCGGUGAAAUGCGUAGAUAUCAGGAGGAACACCGGCGGUGUAGACGGCUUUCUGGACCAAAGCUGACGCUGAGACACGAAAGCGUGGGUAGCAAACAGGAUUAGAUACCCUGGUAGUCCACGCCCUAAACGAUGCCUACUUGGUGUCGGCCAUUCAGUUGGUCGGUGCCGGAGCUAACGCGUUAAGUAGGCCGCCUGGGGAGUACGGUCGCAAGGCUGAACUCAAGGAAUUGACGGGGGCCCGCACAAGCGGUGGAGCAUGUGGUUUAAUUCGACGCACGCGAGACCUUACCUGGGCUCGACGGCUUCGGACGGUUUUGGAAACAGAGGCUUUCCCGCAAGGGACC
RNAcentral lists this ribosomal RNA (983 nucleotides) under uncultured bacterium. RNAcentral's name for it is "bacterial SSU rRNA". It matches the Rfam family "Bacterial small subunit ribosomal RNA", at positions 8 to 1028 of the family's 1533-position model. The record is from RNAcentral.